AGCCGAUGAUGAUCGCGAUGCCCAGCCAUUUCAGCGCGUCCGGCAGAUCGCC
This 52-nucleotide small RNA is filed under the name Sinorhizobium meliloti 2011. RNAcentral's name for it is "putative ncRNA". Lineage: Bacteria; Pseudomonadati; Pseudomonadota; Alphaproteobacteria; Hyphomicrobiales; Rhizobiaceae. The record is from RNAcentral.